RNAcentral lists this ribosomal RNA (232 nucleotides) under Nitrosomonadaceae bacterium. Its description in RNAcentral is "partial 23S ribosomal RNA". It matches the Rfam family "Bacterial large subunit ribosomal RNA", at positions 2707 to 2925 of the family's 2925-position model. The record is from RNAcentral. Lineage: Bacteria; Pseudomonadati; Pseudomonadota; Betaproteobacteria; Nitrosomonadales; Nitrosomonadaceae.
CACUGGUGGACCGGUUGUAGCGCCAGCUGCAGUGCCGGGUAGCUAAGUACGGAAGAGAUAACCGCUGAAAGCAUCUAAGCGGGAAACUCACCUCAAGAUAAGACUUCCCGGGGGUUAAACCCCCCUAAAGGAUCGUUGAAGACCACGACGUUGAUAGGUCGGGUGUGGAAGCACAGCAAUGUGUUAAGCUAACCGAUACUAAUUGUCCGUGUGGCUUGAUCCUAUAACCUUA